RNAcentral lists this small nuclear RNA (380 nucleotides) under Propithecus coquereli (Coquerel's sifaka). RNAcentral describes it as "7SK RNA (ENSPCOG00000008680.1)". The stretch from base 1 to 315 matches the Rfam family "7SK RNA". Rfam says of the family: 7SK was discovered as an abundant small nuclear RNA in the mid-70s but a possible function has only recently been suggested. Two independent studies have found that 7SK RNA binds the CDK9/cyclin T complex (known as elongation factor P-TEFb). Lineage: Eukaryota; Metazoa; Chordata; Mammalia; Primates; Indriidae. The record is from RNAcentral.
GCUUUUAAGAGUUCUUGGAUGUGAUAUCUGUCACCCCAUCGAUGUCCAGGGUUGAUUCUGCUGAUCUGGCUGGCUAGGUGGCUGUCCCCUUCCUCCCUCACCGCUCCAUGCGUAUUGCUCCAGAAGUGACCUUUUUAGUCAAAGAGAAUGACCUUCCCCAAUAGAGAAGGAUCAUUUUUUUGAUCAAAGGUAUAUGAGUAGCUGGGCUUCCCUGCUAGAAUCUCAAACAAGGUCUUAAAAUGAGUUCUUAUUGGUUAUCUUGUUCCUUAUGCACUAUUGAAUAAUAGGUGUGCUGGUAGCAAGUAAGUUUUCUUUUAGUUUAGAGAGGACACACCCAAACCUACUGAAGAGGGCUACCCAUUGCCCAGAAAUCCCACCUU